GAUGAACGCUGGCGGCGUGCCUAAUACAUGCAAGUCGAGCGAACAGACGAGGAGCUUGCUCCUCUGACGUUAGCGGCGGACGGGUGAGUAACGCGUGGAUAACCUACCUAUAAGACUGGGAUAACUUCGGGAAACCGGAGCUAAUACCGGAUAAUAUAUUGAACCGCAUGGUUCAAUAGUGAAAGACGGUUUUGCUGUCACUUAUAGAUGGAUCCGCGCCGCAUUAGCUAGUUGGUAAGGUAACGGCUUACCAAGGCAACGAUGCGUAGCCGACCUGAGAGGGUGAUCGGCCACACUGGAACUGAGACACGGUCCAGACUCCUACGGGAGGCAGCAGUAGGGAAUCUUCCGCAAUGGGCGAAAGCCUGACGGAGCAACGCCGCGUGAGUGAUAAAGGUCUUCGGAUCGUAAAACUCUGUUAUUAGGGAAGAACAAAUGUGUAAGUAACUAUGCACGUCUUGACGGUACCUAAUCAGAAAGCCACGGCUAACUACGUG
This 497-nucleotide ribosomal RNA is filed under the name uncultured bacterium. RNAcentral describes it as "partial 16S ribosomal RNA". It matches the Rfam family "Bacterial small subunit ribosomal RNA", at positions 28 to 507 of the family's 1533-position model. The record is from RNAcentral.